CCUACGGGUGGCAGCAGUAGGGAAUCUUCCACAAUGGGCGAAAGCCUGAUGGAGCAACGCCGCGUGGGUGAAGAAGGUCUUCGGAUCGUAAAACCCUGUUGUUAGAGAAGAAAGUGCGUGAGAGUAACUGUUCACGUUUCGACGGUAUCUAACCAGAAAGCCACGGCUAACUACGUGCCAGCAGCCGCGGUAAUACGUAGGUGGCAAGCGUUAUCCGGAUUUAUUGGGCGUAAAGGGAACGCAGGCGGUCUUUUCAGUCUGAUGUGAAAGCCUUCGGCUUAACCGGCGUAGUGCAUUGGAAACUGGGAGACGUGAGUGCAGAAGAGGAGAGUGGAACUCCAUGUGUAGCGGUGAAAUGCGUAGAUAUAUGGAAGAACACCAGUGGCGAGAGCGGCUCUCUGGUCUGGAACUGACGCUGAGGUUCGAAAGCGUGGGUAGCAAACAGGAUUAGAUACCCGUGUAGUC
Molecule: ribosomal RNA, 465 nt
Filed under: uncultured bacterium
Lineage: Bacteria
Description: partial 16S ribosomal RNA
Rfam family: Bacterial small subunit ribosomal RNA
Source: RNAcentral